Molecule: transfer RNA, 83 nt
Filed under: Panus rudis PR-1116 ss-1
Lineage: Eukaryota; Fungi; Basidiomycota; Agaricomycetes; Polyporales; Panaceae
Description: tRNA-Gln
Rfam family: tRNA
About the family: Transfer RNA (tRNA) molecules are approximately 80 nucleotides in length. Their secondary structure includes four short double-helical elements and three loops (D, anti-codon, and T loops). Further hydrogen bonds mediate the characteristic L-shaped molecular structure. tRNAs have two regions of fundamental functional importance: the anti-codon, which is responsible for specific mRNA codon recognition, and the 3' end, to which the tRNAs corresponding amino acid is attached (by aminoacyl-tRNA synthetases). tRNAs cope with the degeneracy of the genetic code in two manners: having more than one tRNA (with a specific anti-codon) for a particular amino acid; and 'wobble' base-pairing, i.e. permitting non-standard base-pairing at the 3rd anti-codon position.
Source: RNAcentral
GGCCUUGUAGUGUAGCGGUUAUCACUUCGGAUUCUGAUCGUACGAAGUUUCCGACAACCCAGGUUCGAUUCCUGGCAAGGCCU